Molecule: non-coding RNA, 948 nt
Organism: Condylura cristata (star-nosed mole)
Lineage: Eukaryota; Metazoa; Chordata; Mammalia; Eulipotyphla; Talpidae
Source: the annotation of a RefSeq genome assembly
AUGCUUCUCCUAGAAGCUGUCGUCUUCUCUUCCCUCUGGGCUUUUGGCUUUGGUCAGUUAAAAUUGGAACAACCAAAAAUAUCAAUUUCCAGCAUAAGAUAUCAGGAUGCCAUCAUAUCUUGUCAGGUGUCCUCUAACAAUUUUGAUAAUGCAUACAUACACUGGUACCGACAGAAACUUGGUCAGAAUAUAGAACUUCUAAUAUAUGUCGUCUCAACAAAAAACGUUGCUCAGCGUCAAGUAGACGGGAAGGAAAAACUUAAAGCCAGUAAAGACUCUCAUGCUUCCACUUCAACCUUGAAAAUUAUUUAUGUAGAAAAAGAAGAUGAGGCUACGUACUACUGUGCCAGCUAUAGUUCAGGAUGGAUCAAGAUAUUUGGAGAAGGGACUAAGCUCACAGUAAUUCCUCCUGAUUACAAAUUCGGCAAAGGCUUUCCCCCUAAGCCCACAGUUUUUCUUCCUUCAGUCACUGAAAAGGAAGUGGAUGGGACCGGAACAUAUAUCUGUCUCCUUGAAGAAUUUUUCCCUGAUGUUAUUAAGGUAGACUGGAAAGAAAAGAAUGGCAACAAAAUCCAACAGUCGCUGCAGACAAGGCCCAUAGUGACUGGUGAUAAUAAGUACAUGAAAUUAAGCUGGUUGACGGUGACUAAAACAUCAAUGGAUAAAGAACACGUUUGUGUUGUCAAACAUGAGUUUAAUAAUGAAAACAAUGACCAAGAGAUUGUUUUUCCUUCAAUAAAUGAAGAAGGUGAUCUUGAAGUGAUAAGAGAUGAAAGUGGGCUACUGCAGAUUCAGCUCAACUAUAUCACUGCCUAUUACACCUACGUCCUCCUCCUUCUCAAGAGCAUGGUCUACUUUGCCAUCAUCGCCUUCAGUCUGUUCAGUGCAGGAGUCUGGAGCUAUGGAAAGAGUCCAUAACAAGUGGCCAAAGUCUUCAACAUUUGCUAC